UGAGGGAUAUUGGUCAAUGGGCGCAAGCCCGAACCAGCGACGCCGCGUGGGUGAAGAAGGCCUUCGGGUUGUAAAGCCCCUUUGUUGGGAAAGAAAUCCUGUCGGCUAAUACCCGGCGGGGAUGACGGUACCCAAAGAAUAAGCACCGGCUAACUUCGUGCCAGCAGCCGCGGUAAUACGAAGGGUGCAAGCGUUACUCGGAAUUACUGGGCGUAAAGCGUGCGUAGGCGGUUCGUUAAGUCUGUCGUGAAAGCCCUGGGCUCAACCUGGGAAUUGCGAUGGAUACUGGCGAGCUAGAGUACGGUAGAGGAUGGUGGAAUUCCCGGUGUAGCGGUGAAAUGCGUAGAGAUCGGGAGGAACACCCGUGGCGAAGGCGGCCAUCUGGACCAGUACUGACGCUGAGGCACGAAAGCGUGGGGAGCAAACA
This 427-nucleotide ribosomal RNA is filed under the name uncultured bacterium. RNAcentral describes it as "bacterial SSU rRNA". It matches the Rfam family "Bacterial small subunit ribosomal RNA", at positions 355 to 774 of the family's 1533-position model. The record is from RNAcentral.